GGGGUUGUGACUCAGUGGCAGAGUGCUUGCCUAGUAUGUAUGAGGCACUGGGUUCAAGUCUCAGCACUGCA
RNAcentral lists this transfer RNA (71 nucleotides) under Marmota monax (woodchuck). RNAcentral's name for it is "tRNA.Thr". The stretch from base 6 to 66 matches the Rfam family "tRNA", at positions 6 to 65 of the family's 71-position model. From Rfam's summary of the family: Transfer RNA (tRNA) molecules are approximately 80 nucleotides in length. Their secondary structure includes four short double-helical elements and three loops (D, anti-codon, and T loops). Lineage: Eukaryota; Metazoa; Chordata; Mammalia; Rodentia; Sciuridae. The record is from RNAcentral.